UGGAACAAUCAUAGAUACUGAUGGAAUGAUUAGAACUUUCUAUUUGACUUACAUAAUAAUUCUGGAAUGAUCAUAAUCUACGGUGUGUAAUUUAAACUUCUACCGUAUUCUAGAAGUUUUCGUUCUACAGUGUUCUAGAGAUUUCCGUGACAACUAUAUAUAUACAGACACUAAAGUUAGACUACACAUUAGACAUUAAUAUAAUUGGAUUCUCAAAAGAUCUCUGGAGCUUUGGAUGGACACUUUCUUUUACGUUAACUACAUCAUACUAGAUUUUGAACUUAUUGGACAUAUUCCGUACAGUUAAGAGAAGAAUUCCGGAUAAAGAAAAGACAAAGGAUCGGACAGAUAUUUUAACAACAUAUCACCUUAAACAUGGUUGUCCUGAUGUUAAUGGUCAAAGGUGUAGUUGGAUCAGAGAACAAAUGAAAAAAUCCAUGAAGAUAACCACACCAUUAGAAAAAACGAAGUAAGUCUUCCUUAUCUCUUUCAGACAUUCUUCAUGAUUACAAAAUGUAAGACGAAAUAUACCAGAAAGACAAAAGAUUAUUGGAUGGGAAACCCAGAAUGUUGGUGGAUGAAAGAACAGAUGAAAAGAAACAGAAUCUUCACAGAUUUUAAUCAUAUGAAGCAUUGUGAAAAUGUAGCAGUUAGAAUGACGAGUAUUUUCCGCAAAAAAACAGGAAAUUUAUUGGAAAGCGCUACUGUAAAGACCUCACAUUCUGCCUUUGAUAACUUUGUUCAGCCUAUAGAAGAUAACAGACAGGAUUCAUCUGAAUCUGUACGAUGUACAUGUAUUAUCUCCCCUGAAGAAGGGUAUUCGUUGAUCACUGAGUUUAAUAUAACUUGUGAUGCCAAUACAACUGGUCUCCAUGAUACAGUUUUAUAUAAUGUGUAUCAAACAUCAGAAACUGGUAAAAACUUAAUAUAAACAACAAAAUAAUGACUAAAAUUUGAUGUUUUGUUUAUUUUACAUUAGAAUGUAAAUGACUUUU
Long non-coding RNA from Mytilus californianus (California mussel), 995 nucleotides. RefSeq lists it as uncharacterized. Lineage: Eukaryota; Metazoa; Mollusca; Bivalvia; Mytilida; Mytilidae. The transcript has 4 exons. The record is from RefSeq and is a predicted model, not a curated record.